UACUCUUUGGGGUAUCAUUUGGUAGCACCUCAGGCUAUUAACGAAGAACAUGAAUGUGUUUUUCACGAAUUUUUAGCCAGUGUGAAUCAAGAUGGAAGAUUACACAAAAUCAACUGCUUGGCUUUAGUUUUCAAGAGUGCUGCUUUCUUUUAGUUUCUAGCAAUGGACAAUUCCAACGCGGGAUUAUGAAAACUAACACCAGAAGGCCGCCUAUUAGGAUUGCGCAGUUUCUAAGAAUGGACCAUUCCAUGCUGGAUUAUGGGAACUGACACUAGAAUGCCGCCUAUUAGGAUUGCACAAUCUGAAGUCUGAAGGCUUUCAAGUGGGAAUGUGUUUCUCUUUUCCAUGACCAAUUCUUUCAUGCAUUGAUAUACAGUCCAAGAUGUAUUGUCGAAUACCAAUCAUUUUGUGUGGUAGGCCAAGAGUUAUUCGUUGAAACUUGAAAGUACAAUAAUUUUGUAUUGUCGAAUACCAAACCAAAUGAUCAUAUCAAAA
Quercus lobata is the source of this 495-nucleotide long non-coding RNA. RefSeq lists it as uncharacterized. The transcript has 3 exons. The record is from RefSeq and is a predicted model, not a curated record. NCBI's taxonomy places the organism in Eukaryota, Viridiplantae, Streptophyta, Magnoliopsida, Fagales, Fagaceae.